UACGGAGGGUGCGAGCGUUGUCCGGAAUCACUGGGCGUAAAGGGCGCGUAGGCGGCGCGGGAAGUCAUCGGUGAAAGUUCAGGGCUCAACUCUGAAUCGGCCGGUGAUACUCUCGUGCUUGAGCACUGUAGAGGCAGGUGGAAUUCCGGGUGUAGCGGGUGGAAUGCGUAGAGAUCCGGAAGAACACCGGUGGCGAAGGCGGCCUGCUGGGCAGUAGCUGACGCUGAUGCGCGACAGCGUGGGGAGCAAACAGG
This 254-nucleotide ribosomal RNA is filed under the name uncultured bacterium. RNAcentral describes it as "partial 16S ribosomal RNA". It matches the Rfam family "Bacterial small subunit ribosomal RNA", at positions 524 to 776 of the family's 1533-position model. The record is from RNAcentral.